UAGGGAAUAUUGGGCAAUGGAUGCAAGUCUGACCCAGCCAUGCCGCGUGCCGGAUGAAGGCCCUCAGGGUUGUAAACGGCUUUUAUUCGGGAAGAAGAGCAGGGAUGCGUCCUUGUGUGACGGUACCGAAUGAAUAAGCACCGGCUAACUCCGUGCCAGCAGCCGCGGUAAUACGGAGGGUGCGAGCGUUGUCCGGAUUUAUUGGGUUUAAAGGGUGCGUAGGUGGCUAGUUAAGUCAGUGGUGAAAUACAGCCGCUCAACGGUUGAGGUGCCAUUGAUACUGAUUAGCUUGAAAUAAUUGGAGGCUGCCGGAAUGGAUGGUGUAGCGGUGAAAUGCAUAGAUAUCAUCCAGAACACCGAUUGCGAAGGCAGGUGGCUACGAUUUAUUUGACACUGAGGCACGAAAGCAUGGGGAGCAAACA
Molecule: ribosomal RNA, 422 nt
Filed under: uncultured Dyadobacter sp.
Lineage: Bacteria; Pseudomonadati; Bacteroidota; Cytophagia; Cytophagales; Spirosomataceae
Description: bacterial SSU rRNA
Rfam family: Bacterial small subunit ribosomal RNA
Source: RNAcentral